GGGUGGUAGUGAUGAUGAAGGUGCCAGUACUGAGGCUCAAGGACGAGCUAUUAUUGAGGUACUCGGGAGGGACAAGCGUAAUGAAAUCCUUGCUGCAUUGUAUAUGGUCCGAACCGAUGUCAGCAUAACCGUACGCCAGGCUGCUUUGCAUGUUUGGAAGACCAUUGUUGCAAAUACUCCGAAAACAUUGAAGGAGAUAAUGCCUGUACUGAUGAGCACAUUGAUAAGUUCUCUAGCGUCUUCAUCCUCUGAAAGGAGACAGGUUGCUGGACGAGCACUCGGUGAGCUUGUUAGGAAGCUUGGAGAAAGAGUCCUUCCUUUGAUUAUCCCAAUAUUGUCACGGGGUCUAAAAGAUCCAAAUCCAAGUAGAAGACAAGGUGUCUGCAUCGGUCUAAGUGAAGUAAUGGCCAGUGCUGGCAGGAGUCAAUUGUUGAGUUAUAUGGAUGAGCUUAUCCCCACAAUUCGGACAGCACUUUGUGAUAGUAUGGGCGAGGUUCGGGAAUCAGCAGGCCUGGCAUUUAGUACUCUUUACAAGAAUGCUGGAAUGCAAGCAAUUGAUGAGAUUGUUCCAACACUUCUUCAUGCACUGGAGGAUGAGGAUACCUCAGAUACUGCUCUGGAUGGCUUAAAACAAAUUCUGAGUGUCAGGACCACAGCUGUGCUGCCACACAUCCUCCCAAAGCUGGUUCAUCUUCCACUUUCUGCCUUCAACGCACAUGCUUUGGGAGCUUUAGCGGAAGUUGCAGGACCUGGUCUUGGUGCCCACCUUAGUACUAUCCUUCCUGCUUUACUGUAUGCAAUGGGUUAUACCGACAUGGAAAUUCAAAGUUUAGCAAAGAAGGCAGCAGAAACUGUUGUGUCAGUUAUUGAUGAAGAAGGCAUGGAGUCUUUGUUGUCUGAACUACUGAAAGGAGUUGGGGAUACUAAGGCAUCGAUUAGACGAAGUUCAGCAUAUCUUAUCGGGUACCUGUUCAAAAAUAGCGACUUAUAUCUUGGUGAUGAAGCCCCAAACAUGAUAUCCAGCCUCAUUAUAUUGCUUAGUGAUCCAGAUUCUGAUACUGUGGUGGUUGCAUGGCAAGCUUUGUCUAAUGUUGUUAGUUCAGUACCUAAAGAGGUUCUUCCAACAUAUAUCAAGUUGGUUCGUGAUGCUGUAUCUACUUCAAGAGAUAAGGAGCGUAGAAAGAAAAAGGGAGGACCAGUUCUUAUACCUGGAUUUUGUCUUCCGAAAGCUCUUCAGCCAGUGCUUCCUGUUUUUCUCCAGGGUCUCAUAAGUGGAUCCGCAGAACUAAGGGAGCAAGCAGCUUUAGGUCUUGGGGAGUUAAUUGAAGUGACAGGCGAGAAAACACUUAAGGAGUUUGUGAUUCCUAUCACAGGGCCCUUGAUUCGUAUUAUAGGUGACAGAUUUCCUUGGCAAGUAAAGAGUGCAAUUCUGUCGACUCUGAGCAUCAUAAUUCGAAGGGGAGGAAUAGCCCUAAAGCCCUUUCUUCCCCAGCUUCAAACAACA
Molecule: unclassified non-coding RNA, 1504 nt
Filed under: Hevea brasiliensis (rubber tree)
Lineage: Eukaryota; Viridiplantae; Streptophyta; Magnoliopsida; Malpighiales; Euphorbiaceae
Source: RNAcentral